Myxocyprinus asiaticus (Chinese sucker) is the source of this 559-nucleotide long non-coding RNA. RefSeq lists it as uncharacterized. The transcript is spliced from 4 exons. The record is from RefSeq and is a predicted model, not a curated record. NCBI's taxonomy places the organism in Eukaryota, Metazoa, Chordata, Actinopteri, Cypriniformes, Catostomidae.
GGGAAGGACAACAUACUCAUUGCACAGACUUUCAGAAGCGGAACAAAUGUAUCAUGAUGAAGACUGAUCUGCAUUUGGUGCUUUUGCCAGAGGAGCAGGAUGCAAUUUGUGAGAGUUGAGGUGAAAUCAAGUCCAAAUGUUAGUGAUCCAGAAGUGAAGACGGAGAUAUUAGGGAAGAUAGAGCAGAUACUGAAGGAGAAUGGUAUGCCAGAAAACGUCAAACUGUCAUGGAGAAACUAAUCAGAUGGAAAUAUCUUUCAAAAGAAGAACCAGAAGAAGGAUACUACUGAGCAGACUUGCCUAUACAUCACGAAUAAAUAAAACUUUACUGGCUGUUUUAUAAUAGGAUUAUUGAUCCCCUGGGAAAACAGUAGUAUAGUAAUUAUUCAACAUGUGUGCUUGGACAUUCUCACUCAUUUCAGCUGAUGAGCUGUGAUUCUGCAGAAAUACUCCUGAACAAUUUCUUGAAGUUUAUCAGUUUUUCCCACAGCCUGUUGAGCGCUGUAGCUCAAUUUAAUAUAUGUUUGAUGUAAUGAAAAUUCACUAAAAUGAAUAAAGA